AUUGAACGCUGGCGGCAGGCCUAACACAUGCAAGUCGAGCGGUAGAGAGAAGCUUGCUUCUCUUGAGAGCGGCGGACGGGUGAGUAAUGCCUAGGAAUCUGCCUGGUAGUGGGGGAUAACGUUCGGAAACGGACGCUAAUACCGCAUACGUCCUACGGGAGAAAGCAGGGGACCUUCGGGCCUAGCGCUAUCAGAUGAGGCUAGGUCGGAUUAGCUAGUUGGUGAGGUAAUGGCUCACCAAGGAGACGAUCCGUAACUGGUCUGAGAGGAUGAUCAGUCACACUGGAACUGAGACACGGUCCAGACUCCUACGGGAGGCAGCAGUGGGGAAUAUUGGACAAUGGGCGAAAGCCUGAUCCAGCCAUGCCGCGUGUGUGAAGAAGGUCUUCGGAUUGUAAAGCACUUUAAGUUGGGAGGAAGGGUUGUAGAUUAAUACUCUGCAAUUUUGACGUUACCGACAGAAUAAGCACCGGCUAACUCUGUGCCAGCCGCCGCAGUAA
This 500-nucleotide ribosomal RNA is filed under the name uncultured bacterium. Its description in RNAcentral is "partial 16S ribosomal RNA". It matches the Rfam family "Bacterial small subunit ribosomal RNA", at positions 30 to 523 of the family's 1533-position model. The record is from RNAcentral.